UAGGGAAUCUUCGGCAAUGGACGAAAGUCUGACCGAGCAACGCCGCGUGAGUGAAGAAGGUUUUUGGAUCGUAAAACUCUGUUGUUAGAGAAGAACAAGGACGUUAGUAACUGAACGUCCCCUGACGGUAUCUAACCAGAAAGCCACGGCUAACUACGUGCCAGCAGCCGCGGUAAUACGUAGGUGGCAAGCGUCGUCCGGAUUUAUUGGGCGUAAAGCGAGCGCAGGCGGUUUCUUAAGUCUGAUGUGAAAGCCCCCGGCUCAACCGGGGAGGGUCAUUGGAAACUGGGAGACUUGAGUGCAGAAGAGGAGAGUGGAAUUCCAUGUGUAGCGGUGAAAUGCGUAGAUAUAUGGAGGAACACCAGUGGCGAAGGCGGCUCUCUGGUCUGUAACUGACGCUGAGGCUCGAAAGCGUGGGGAGCAAACAGG
RNAcentral lists this ribosomal RNA (429 nucleotides) under Gemmatimonadota bacterium. RNAcentral describes it as "Gemmatimonadetes bacterium partial 16S ribosomal RNA". It matches the Rfam family "Bacterial small subunit ribosomal RNA", at positions 355 to 776 of the family's 1533-position model. Lineage: Bacteria; Pseudomonadati; Gemmatimonadota. The record is from RNAcentral.